This 253-nucleotide ribosomal RNA is filed under the name uncultured bacterium. Its description in RNAcentral is "partial 16S ribosomal RNA". It matches the Rfam family "Bacterial small subunit ribosomal RNA", at positions 524 to 776 of the family's 1533-position model. The record is from RNAcentral.
UACAGAGGUCCCAAGCGUUGUUCGGAUUCACUGGGCGUAAAGGGUGCGUAGGUGGUGAGGUAAGUCGGAUGUGAAAGCUCGGAGCUCAACUCCGAAAUGGCAUUGGAAACUACCUUGCUCGAGGGUUGGAGGGGGGACUGGAAUACUUGGUGUAGCAGUGAAAUGCGUAGAUAUCAGGAGGAACACCGGUGGCGAAGGCGGGUCUCUGGGCCGAUACUGACGCUGAGGAGCGAAAGCGUGGGGAGCGAACAGG